This 627-nucleotide unclassified non-coding RNA is filed under the name Portunus trituberculatus (swimming crab). RNAcentral describes it as "uncharacterized LOC123507180, transcript variant X1". The record is from RNAcentral. Lineage: Eukaryota; Metazoa; Arthropoda; Malacostraca; Decapoda; Portunidae.
AUGAGCUACACCUAAGAAGAUUUAGAUCCUGAUCUUGAAGGCGCUACGGGCCGUAUUUACCGCUACGAAUAGCGCUAACAUUUGUUUAAAAACACUUGUAUCACAAGAAUAAGGAUAUUGUGUUAUGUUUUUAUCACUUCAAAGUUAAAUAUAGAAAUUUCUGUAAUAUAUUGGGUGCAGAAAUGAGAAUCUAUUAAAAAUAUCAUACCGCGAAAAGAAUAUGUGUGGAUUUGACCUUGACGGCAGACGCCACACUCACAACAACAGCAGCAGCAGCCAGCCAUCCACGUGAAGAGCAACAUGGAACUCCAAUGCCAGCAUGAACCAGCAUGAGGCUUCCCCAAAGGGGGAGGUCCUGCAACUCCUACAUUAGAUGCUAUUACGCAAUUCAUUUACGACAUCCUGGGGGAAGGCAAUGUGACCUUCCAAGGCAUCACCACAGGAUUGGACACAAACCUGGAAUCUGUCAAGGUGUUGGUAGUUGACAGAUUAGAAGAGGUUGAUUGUGCAGGAGCACCAACAACCACCAGCCUGCCAUGUCUUCCUCUGCCUGAUGCUGAAGGUCCACCACAGGACAGCUUUGUGAUGGAGGCUCUUGAAGAAGAGAGUGAGGUGCCACCCCCCAAG